This is a long non-coding RNA of Schistocerca cancellata (South American locust), 2217 nucleotides long. RefSeq lists it as uncharacterized. Lineage: Eukaryota; Metazoa; Arthropoda; Insecta; Orthoptera; Acrididae. The record is from RefSeq and is a predicted model, not a curated record. The transcript is spliced from 4 exons.
ACAUGGAGAUCGUUUUAUCCCUGGCUCGUGUCGCCGUCAUCGUGACGUAGGCACGCGUCAUCGCAUGUGCCACGAGUUGUCCGAUCGACUGUUGUGUGAAAGGCUGUAUACAUAGACUGUUGUGUGCAUCUUCGAUCUGCAUUGCUAUUUGUUUGUGUGGUUUCAUUGUCCGCGUGUCCGGUAUUGCUCGCGUGAACGUCGUUCUGAAUAUGGGCUCUAACGGAGAUGAGAAAGCUUUCGAACAGAUCCUUCAAGAUAAUCUGAAAGAUUUCGCUGUCGGUAACGACGGGAAAUACUGUGGCUACUGUGAUUCGGAGGAAGAGAUCAAAAGACUACAGAAUAGUCUUAAGUGCAUAGGAUAUUCAUACUCGGUAAGGAGCAGCCACCAUCGCCAAAAAUUGCAUGAAGCCGCCACCAGUAACCCACGAAUCUUCUUCCAGCAAUUUCAGGGUAACGUUGAAAUCCCAUUUAUGGGAUAUCCGUUUUCGGUGGAAUAUUCCAGCUACCAACAAUGCACCCUGGGCCCCUAAUAUUACAGUAAAAAGGAGACUGUUGUUCCAAGUCACCUGGCUGACCAUGUUAACCCAGCAAAAAAGAGAUUGUUGAUUAUGGAUACGAAAAAGAGCGAUUGCCCUGCCACUUUUUCAAUUAAAUGUGUUAAAGUGUAUCCAGGCCAUUCUGUUCAAUCAGUAGAUGAUCGUGAAAUUAAAAAGAAAGUUGUCCAUAGUUUAAAACAGUCUUUGGAGGCAGCCAAUAAACCUGAAAGUGUUCUUCGCUUUUAUGUGAGGGUGUCACCACCAGAACACCAUACCCACAGCACAGAAAGCAUAAAAACAAGUGGAGACAUACAUCCCUUGCUAGCUGCGGAAAUAGCAAAAGUUGUUGAAGAUGGAACUACAUCUGUGAGAAUAAUAAAGUUACACCUUGAAAGAUUUGUGAACAUAACCUUCACUGGACCACACAAGCCAGAUAAUAUGAACACUACAUUUUACCUCACAAUAUAUAGUCAUGUGUACAGGGCCCUUAAGAAAUUGAAGAAAAGUGUUUGACCAAGAUGCUUUGCAAAUACAGAUUAAUGAGUGGUAGAAAGAAUAUAGAGGUGACAAUAUUUUUUUCAGGCCUUUUUCAGAUGUCGAUGGAGAAAUACAGCCAUUGCUGUUUUGUUACGAGAGUGCAUGGCAGAAGGAUAUGUUAAAAAAAUAUGGAGAUGUAUGUUUGCUUGAUGCCACCUACAAAACAACAAAAUAUGACAUUCCUUUAUUUUUUGUUACAGUAAAGGCAAACAGAUGCUGUUUAGUGGUAGGUUUUUUCUUUAUUCAGGUAGAAGAUACAAGGUCAAUUGCUGAAGCGCUACUUGUUUUCAAGACGUGGAAUACAGACUUCAACCCAACCUACGGGGUUACUGAUUUCUCAGAGUCCGAGAUAGCAGCAGUUAAAGAAAUAUUUCCAUUUUCAAAAGUGUACUUGUGUUAGUUUCACAGGGAACAGGCUUGGGGGCGAUGGGUUAAAAAGGGAGGGAAUCUAACUGUAGGAACUGAUAAGGAUUUCUGUUCUGGAGCUGUGGCACUAUGUUGCAGUGUCUCCAUCUGAGGAACAGUUCAAACUCAAUGUUGAAAUGUUAGAGACUCGUGGGGUUUUUCGUAGGAACCCCAAGACACUUAUUUAUUUUAAAAAUCAAUGGCUCUCAGUUGCUGAAAAGUGGGUGAGCUUUCGAGAAUAUUGGCAUAUUUGCCAAUAUUAGAACCACAAACGGUGCUGAAACAAUGAACAAGGUCAAAAAGUCUUUUCUGAACUAUGACACAGACAAAACAUUAACAGGAGUUGUUAAGGUAUUAGUAAAUAGUUUCAUUCCUGGCCUCAUGAAAAAGUAUUGCCAAAUGAAUUCUGUUAUUAGAAAGAACAAUGAAGUUGUACCUGCACUUUUGCAUGGAAAGACACAGGAAUUUAUAACACACGUUUUUUUUUAGAUUAGAUUUACUUUCAUUCCAAUUGAUCCGUAGUGAGGAGGUCCUCCAGGAUGUGGAACAUGUCAGAAAAACAAUAAUACAUGACAAAUAUUUACAACUAAAACAAAUAAGCUAAUGUACCAUUCCACAGGUCCCAAGUGCAAUGAUCGUCAUUUUUUAAUGAACACUAAGUCAUUUUACAAAUACUAAUGCACUGAAUUUAAAAUAAAAGUUUUUUAUUUAUUUAUAAGGUAAUAAACAUGUAAUACAA